This 863-nucleotide long non-coding RNA is filed under the name Homo sapiens (human). RNAcentral's name for it is "HSALNT0387021". Lineage: Eukaryota; Metazoa; Chordata; Mammalia; Primates; Hominidae. The record is from RNAcentral.
AUAACAUAACAGGAUUUAUUUUGAAAGUGGUGACUCCACAAUAAAAACAUAGAUAUCUAAUUUGCCUUACAAAGGCCGAUUUGCAAAUCUAGUAUUUCCAGUGGUUCUUUCUUUCUUUCUUUCUUUCUUUUUUUUUUUUAAUGCCCCAUAUGACGCUGCUUUGUUGGAAUUGCCAUUGGUGAGGAUCUCACUGAUAAAGAAGGGGACAUCCCUCCCUUGAUAGACUUUAGGGUUGCACUAGAGCCAUGCCCCCUUUGAAGUGGCCUCUAAGCAAACUCUGUCUUGUCAUCAUUUUCCUCUCUGCAGCUGUAAGUGAUACGGAGCUGUAUUUUGAGUUUUUGAUACUGAUAUUACUAAGGCAAUUGGAGGGAUUCUUAAUUCAUCUAAAAAAAAUCAGGGAUUCUGACAGAUAAAAGGAUUUGGAGGAAAUGUCAGAAUAAAGCAUUGUGGGUUCAUGAAGUCCUAGGUUUUAUAAUUAAGGUUUAUAGGCAGGUAUUACCGCUGCUGACUGGAUUCAACUGUCUGGAUUGGAGAUGAACAAACUGCCAUCUCUGGGCUAACUCUGACCCACUGCCUGAUUUUCUUUCUGAACCUGAAGAACUUUGUAGAUUGAAAGCUGUAGCUUGUGGACCUCUCUCUGUGGAGAUCAGCAUCUCAGUAUCCAGGGGGAAGCCAUCUCUUCACCCAAAGCUUCCGCUAGGAGAUCAAGAGGCCCGGAACCCCGCAGUCCUGAAUGCUAACCAGUAGAGACAAGGGAGGAAUUCAUUUCUGUUUGUGUUCAACAUAGACUGAGCAGGAAGGGCCAGGUGUUUUACGACUCUUUGGAGUUAGCAGCUUGUUGGCUCUGAUUUGGUAAAAGCAAC